GUGAGGAAUAUUGCGCAAUGGAGGCAACUCUGACGCAGCCAUGCCGCGUGCAGGAAGAAGGCGCUACGCGUUGUAAACUGCUUUUAACCGGGAAGAAACCCCAGGACGUGUCCUGGGUUGACGGUACCGGAGGAAUAAGCACCGGCUAACUUCGUGCCAGCAGCCGCGGUAAUACGACGGGUGCAAGCGUUAUCCGGAUUCAUUGGGUUUAAAGGGUGCGUAGGCGGAGCGUUAAGUCAGUGGUGAAAUCCUGCAGCUUAACUGUAGACUUGCCAUUGAUACUGGCGCUCUUGAGUGCGCUUGAAGUGGGCGGAAUGUGCCGUGUAGCGGUGAAAUGCUUAGAUAUGGCACAGAACACCAAUUGCGAAGGCAGCUCACUAAGGCGAUACUGACGCUGGGGCACGAAAGCGUGGGGAUCGAACAGGAUUAGAAACCCGAGUAGUCC
Molecule: ribosomal RNA, 445 nt
Filed under: uncultured bacterium
Lineage: Bacteria
Description: partial 16S ribosomal RNA
Rfam family: Bacterial small subunit ribosomal RNA
Source: RNAcentral